UCCCGGCCUAUCAGCUUGUUGGUGAGGUAACGGCUCACCAAGGCGACAACCGGGAGCUGGUCUGAGAGGAUGUCCCCCCACACUGGGACUGAGACACGGCCCAGACUCCUACCGGAGGCACCCCUUAGGAAUCUUGCCCAAUGGACCAAAGUCUGACCCAACGACCCCCCGUGCGGGAUGAAUGCCCUCGGAUCGUAAACCGCUUUCACCAUGGACGAAAUUGACGGUACCUGCCUAAAAACCCCCGGCCAACUACUUGCCAACACCCGCGGUAAUACGUACGGGGCAAGCGUUGUCCGGAUUUAUUGGGCGUAAAGAGCUCGUAGGUGGUUCGGUAAUUCCGAUGUGAAAUCUCCCCCCUCAACCUGCAGGGGUCAUUGAUACUGCCGUGACUAGAGGUCGGUAGGGGAGUGUGGAAUUCCUGGUGGAGCGGUGAAAUGCACAGAUAUCAAGAGGAACACCCGUAUCCAAGGCGGCACUCUGGGCCGAUACUGACACUGAGGAUGGAAAGCGUGCCGAGCGGACGCGACUAGAUACCCUGGGAGUCCACGCCGUAAACGGUGGUGACUAGGUGUGGGAUUCACUCAACGGAUUCCGUGCCGCAGCUAACGCAUUAUAUGCCCCGCCUGGGGAGUACGGAAUCAAUAC
This 648-nucleotide ribosomal RNA is filed under the name uncultured Actinoplanes sp. RNAcentral's name for it is "bacterial SSU rRNA". It matches the Rfam family "Bacterial small subunit ribosomal RNA", at positions 231 to 894 of the family's 1533-position model. Lineage: Bacteria; Bacillati; Actinomycetota; Actinomycetes; Micromonosporales; Micromonosporaceae. The record is from RNAcentral.